Molecule: ribosomal RNA, 253 nt
Filed under: uncultured bacterium
Lineage: Bacteria
Description: partial 16S ribosomal RNA
Rfam family: Bacterial small subunit ribosomal RNA
Source: RNAcentral
UACGUAGGGCGCAAGCGUUGUCCGGAAUUAUUGGGCGUAAAGAGCUCGUAGGCGGUUUGUCGCGUCUGUCGUGAAAGCUUGGGGCUUAACCCCAAGUCUGCGGUGGAUACGGGCAGACUAGAGGCAGGUAGGGGAGAACGGAAUUCCCGGUGUAGCGGUGAAAUGCGCAGAUAUCGGGAGGAACACCGGUGGCGAAGGCGGUUCUCUGGGCCUGUACUGACGCUGAGGAGCGAAAGCGUGGGGAGCGAACGGG